AGUAACCCCGAGACGGUUGCGGCCCACAGGAUGCUUUCCUGUAACCUCUAAAGUGAUGGGAAAAGACAAAAACUCCCGGGAUGUGGGCUUCCGGCCAAGUUAUCAACGCGACUGAACCGACGCGUUCCCUUAAAUGGGUCAACGUUUCUAGGCCCGGGAGAGAAGUGAGGCCCUUUCUCCAGCGGACCCCCGGGCCGAGCCGUCGCUCCCACCCCCUCGCUUUCCUUGAGUUUAGCGCCGCCAGGCCGCCCCCACCCGGUCCCCCGCACCUUCACAGUCGCCUGGCCGCAGCGCCCGGCUGUCAGGCAGCACGCUCAGGGCCAGCGCUACCGCCAGCCCGCGCGUAGCCCACAUCCUCCUCGGCCGUCUCCACCACCGCCGCCGCCGCGCGAAUGAACCGCACCCGGCGCGGUGCUCCGCCUAGUGGGCUGGAACACAAACCCGAGCUUCCCAUUGGUGUGCGGUCCCCGCGCCCACCCAUAUGCUGCAUCCUCAUUGGUCCACGUGCCCAGGAGCCCAGACCGGCGGCUCCACGCUACCCUCCCUCAUUGGUUGCUGCUGUCCGGGACCUAGACAGUUGUCGGUUGCUGAUUGAGCCUGGGCGGGCCAUAGGCAGCGGCUGGGGGUCUGGGGGAGGUGCACGGGCCGCCAUGUUGGGUAAGGGCAGCUGCUUUGGCUGCUUACCCGGAACCCUCUCAAUCUAUUGACUCGACCCUAAUACCUGGUCUUGGCUCCACACCCACUCCUCCCGAGGCCCGGACUCGUGGAGCAGCAUUUCUGGCGCCACCCUAUAGCCAGUAGGAUGGGCGGCGCGAGUAAGGAUCAGAAGCGGUUCCUUGUUUUGAAUUACCACGUGGAUUGGCAAGCCAAUCAUGGGAAGCGUCCACUUUCAUUCGCCGGCUGCCCAGACCCCGCUUUUAUCCUGGGUCAGAUGGCAGAACCUCUUGAUCUAAAUAAAGGUGCUAGGUCUGCCUAGUCGGCUGCCGUCUUGGGCCUCUGAGGACCUCGCGGCGAGGCUGCGAGCAGAGGCGUUGGUCUAGCUUCCCAGUGGAGGCCAUGGGAUCUUGGGAGGUUUUGUUCUCCACUCUUGGAGAAACGAGAAUGGGAACUGGAGACAUUACCGCCUGGACUGCCCUAAUGCUAAGUGCAACGGCUUUGGCCACUCGCCCUGGAAGGCGGAAUAUGGAGGGCGGCCGACUAAGUGCAGAAAAGUAUCUGGAGCUAAAAGGGCUUGGAGCCCGGCGACAAGGGUUUGAGAGGGGCACUUAUGCUCCCAUUCAGUGAAAUCAGUGGAUCAAUAUCAGGUAUUCAUCUUUAAUUCACAUCACAGCAGUCAAGGGAUGGGGUGGGGGGAGUCAGUUGCCAGAUAUUUACAUCUAAAAGUCACAUUUCUUGUUGGAUUUAUAACAUGCUACCACAAUAUAUACAGUAAAAUGCCUCUUGGGACACUGGCACAAUUUUUUUUCUUUUAACUUUUCUGGUACAGGUAAGAUCAUUUUAAGCCAGUUUUUCUUUAGACAUGAAUACAACAAAAGAAAUGGUUAGAAGUUUUCUUGUUUUAAAUAAGCACAGAAUGCCAGAGGUUAAAAACACAUUUAUAGGGCUUAUUACCAAUUAGACACACUCUAUACAUUUUUUUUGCUCAAAUUCCUGUACAAAUACACAGCAUUCAAAUAGGUAUUUACAAAUACGCUUUAAAGAAUGAAAAUCAGUAUUUCACAAUCUUUUCAAAGGAUUCUGAUCUCUGGCUUCCCAUUUCCCUCACACUGGCUGGUUUUUCAAUAAAAAGUAUUCAGAAUAGGUCCAUUUCAUCCAGUUAGGGAAAAUGGAGAGGAGUAACACAAAUAUAUUUCACUUUGCAUAAAGCAAGGUCAAGGAACUUAACCUUACAUUCCCCUCCCUACCUCCUGUGCCAUCAAGUGGAGAAGGGAGAUGUCUGCAUGUGAUAACUGGCUGCCUCCAUGGACUGAGGUUCAAACAUGCCUGGAAACAAACCUAAAGCUGCCCUACCUAAGAAUCACAUUCCAAGCUAGACCUUGACCCUCAUACCUGUGAACCCGGACGGUCCAGAAACAAGCUUACCAGUGAGUCUGGGCUCAGGAACAGGUGUGUGUGCCCUUGGAGCUGGGGCUAUUGGAUUGGCCUACCUACAUCCUCAACAGUCUCUACUCUGCCUGAAUGAUCCUGAGGGUAUCAGAAAGCCCUACACUGUUGGUACCUGGGCCCCAACAUACUGUGAACGGAAAUGGGCCUUCUUUCUUUUUCUAUAGGUUAUUUGCUGGCAGUUCUAUUAAACUUGUUUCUAAGAG
Molecule: long non-coding RNA, 2309 nt
Filed under: Mus pahari (shrew mouse)
Lineage: Eukaryota; Metazoa; Chordata; Mammalia; Rodentia; Muridae
Description: lncRNA (MGP_PahariEiJ_G0002328.1)
Source: RNAcentral